Vicia faba (fava bean) is the source of this 216-nucleotide non-coding RNA. The record is from the annotation of a GenBank genome assembly. Lineage: Eukaryota; Viridiplantae; Streptophyta; Magnoliopsida; Fabales; Fabaceae.
AUGGCCAUUUACAAAACCACACGCAAAAAAUAUUACAUGGAAAAACUAUCAAAACUUAAACCCAGUCUCCAAUCUUUCUUCAUACAAAUUCCAUCUUCAAAUCCUUGCCAUAACUCCAUAAUUUUGUAUCUUCAAAAUUUCCUCUUCAAGCUUCUAAAAAAUUGUCUAUUCCUGUGUUCAAGACCAGGCCUGCCAAUUAAUCAAAUGCAACCCUAA